Molecule: ribosomal RNA, 494 nt
Filed under: uncultured bacterium
Lineage: Bacteria
Description: partial 16S ribosomal RNA
Rfam family: Bacterial small subunit ribosomal RNA
Source: RNAcentral
GACGAACGCUGGCGGCGCGCUUAACACAUGCAAGUCGAACGGAAAGGCCUGCUUUCCCUUGUGGAUUGCGGGUACUCGAGUGGCGAACGGGUGAGUAACACGUGAGUGAUCUGCCCCCAACUUGGGUAUAAGCCUGGGAAACUGGGUCUAAUUCCCGAUAGGACUGCAGGGUGGUGCCUGUGGUGGAAAACGAUUUUCUAGUGGUUGGGGAUGAGCUCGCGGCCUAUCAGCUUGUUGGUGGGGUAAUGGCCUACCAAGGCGGCGACGGGUAGCCGGCCUGAGAGGGUGGACGGCCACAUUGGGACUGAGAUACGGCCCAGACUCCUACGGGAGGCAGCAGUGAGGAAUAUUACACAAUGGGCGGAAGCCUGAUGCAGCGACGCCGCGUGGGGGAUGACGGCCUUCGGGUUGUAAACUCCUUUCGACCGCGAGGAAGCCACCUGGUUGGAAGGGUGGUGACGGUAGUGGUAGAAGAAGCACCGGCUAACUACGUG